GGUGGCUUCCCACUGCCACAACCCCACCAGGUCUCAGCACGGAGCCCCUGGGAUCUCAUGCUAAGCAGGGCCAGGCUGGCUUGGUACUGGCUGGGAGACCAAGAGCUGCAGGGGGAGGUUACCA
RNAcentral lists this ribosomal RNA (124 nucleotides) under Gopherus agassizii (Agassiz's desert tortoise). Lineage: Eukaryota; Metazoa; Chordata; Testudines; Testudinidae. The record is from RNAcentral.